This 468-nucleotide ribosomal RNA is filed under the name uncultured bacterium. Its description in RNAcentral is "partial 16S ribosomal RNA". It matches the Rfam family "Bacterial small subunit ribosomal RNA", at positions 28 to 507 of the family's 1533-position model. The record is from RNAcentral.
GACGAACGCUGGCGGCGUGCUUAACACACGCAAGUCGAACGGAAAGGCCCUGCUUUUGUGGGGUGCUCGAGUGGCGAACGGGUGAGUAACACGUGAGUAACCUGCCCUUGACUUUGGGAUAACUUCAGGAAACUGGGGCUAAUACCGGAUAGGAGCUCCUGCUGCAUGGUGGGGGUUGGAAAGUUUCGGCGGUUGGGGAUGGACUCGCGGCUUAUCGGCUUGUUGGUGGGGUAGUGGCUUACCAAGGCUUUGACGGGUAGCCGGCCUGAGAGGGUGACCGGCCACAUUGGGACUGAGAUACGGCCCAGACUCCUACGGGAGGCAGCAGUGGGGAAUAUUGCACAAUGGGCGGAAGCCUGAUGCAGCAACGCCGCGUGCGGGAUGACGGCCUUCGGGUUGUAAACCGCUUUCGCCUGUGACGAAGCGUGAGUGACGGUAAUGGGUAAAGAAGCACCGGCUAACUACGUG